UAUCUGUCUAACAGAACAUGGACAUCAUCAUCAAACAAGACCUCCUCAUACUGUCAGUCUUUUGGCUGUGGGCUACAGGUCUGACUGAUGGGAGUGAUGUCAAACAGAUUUCCACAUUAUGGAAGAAGGAGGGUGACAGUGCAACAAUAGACUGCAGCCACAAAAAGGAUGCUAACUACAACCAGAUGUACUGGUACAGACAGCGACCAGGAGAAACAAUGAAACUCAUCGUGUUCACAUCAACUGCCAGCAAAGAUCAUGACUUUGGAGAUUUCAGCAAAGAGAAAUUCUCAGCCACCAAACCUGCCUUUGACAGUGGGACAUUCACAGUGAAGAAUCUGGUGCCACAAGAUGAAGGCUUGUAUUUCUGUGCUGUAAGUCAACACAGUGAUACAGACACAUGUGAAAGCUGA
Non-coding RNA from Chelmon rostratus (copperband butterflyfish), 413 nucleotides. Lineage: Eukaryota; Metazoa; Chordata; Actinopteri; Chaetodontiformes; Chaetodontidae. The record is from the annotation of a RefSeq genome assembly.